AUCCGGAUGACGAGCCCCAAAUAGAUCGAAAUGCGCAUCUUAGAU
RNAcentral lists this non-coding RNA (45 nucleotides) under Trichobilharzia regenti. Lineage: Eukaryota; Metazoa; Platyhelminthes; Trematoda; Strigeidida; Schistosomatidae. The record is from RNAcentral.